UUUUGUCCCACCUUAACUGAUGACAUUCCACCACAAAAGAAGUGUAAAUGGCCGGUCCUUGCCUUAACUGAUGACAUGACCUUGUGAAAGUCCUUUUCCUGGCUCAUCCUGGCUCAAAAAGCACCCCCACUGAGCACCUUGUGACCCCCACUCCUGCCCACUGAGCACCUUGCAACCCCCACUCCUGCCCACUGAGCACCUUGCAACCCCCACUCCUACCCGCCAGAGAACAAACCCCCUUUGACUGUAAUUUUCCUUUACCUACCCAAAUCCUAUAAAACGGCCCCACCCUUAUCUCCCUUUGCUGACUCUCUUUUCGGACUCAGCCCGCUUGCACCCAGGUGAAAUAAACAGCCAUGUUGCUCACACAAAGCCUGUUUGGUGGUCUUUUCACACGGACGCUCAUGAAAAUAGGGG
RNAcentral lists this long non-coding RNA (417 nucleotides) under Homo sapiens (human). RNAcentral describes it as "HSALNT0326390". Lineage: Eukaryota; Metazoa; Chordata; Mammalia; Primates; Hominidae. The record is from RNAcentral.